GAUGAACGCUGGCGGCAUUGCCUUACACAUUGCAAGUCGAACGGUAGAGUAGCAAUACUUUGAGAGUGGCGAACGGGUGAGUAAUAUAUCGGAACGUACCUAGUAAUGGGGGAUAACGUAGCGAAAGUUACGCUAAUACCGCAUACGUCCUAAGGGAGAAAGCAGGGGAUUCGCAAGAACCUUGCGUUAUUAGAGCGGCCGAUAUCGGAUUAGCUAGUUGGAGAGGUAAAGGCUCACCAAGGCAACGAUCCGUACCUGGUCUGAGAGGACGACCAGGCACACUGGAACUGAGACACGGUCCAGACUCCUACGGGAGGCAGCAGUGGGGAAUUUUGGACAAUGGGGGCAACCCUGAUCCAGCCAUGCCGCGUGCAGGAUGAAGGCCUUCGGGUUGUAAACUGCUUUUGUUAGUAAUGAAAAGGUAAUCAAUAACACUGGUUACUGCUGACAGUACCUAAAGAAUAAGCACCGGCUAACUACGUGCCAGCAGCCGCGGUAAUACGUAGGGUGCAAGCGUUAAUCGGAAUUACUGGGCGUAAAGCGUGCGCAGGCGGUUAUAUAAGUCAGAUGUGAAAUCCCUGGGCUCAACCUAGGAACUGCAUUUGAGACUGUAUAGCUAGAGUGUGUCAGAGGGGGGUAGAAUUCCACGUGUAGCAGUGAAAUGCGUAGAGAUGUGGAGGAAUAUCAAUGGCGAAGGCAACCCCCUGGGAUAACACUGACGCUCAUGUACGAAAGCGUGGGGAGCAAACAGGAUUAGAUACCCUGGUAGUCCACGCCCUAAACGAUGUCUACUAGUUGUUGGGGCUUUCGAGCCUUAGUAACGCAGCUAACGCGUGAAGUAGACCGCCUGGGGAGUACGGUCGCAAGAUUAAAACUCAAAGGAAUUGACGGGGACCCGCACAAGCGGUGGAUGAUGUGGAUUAAUUCGAUGCAACGCGAAAAACCUUACCUACACUUGACAUGCUAAGAAGUUCCUAGAGAUGGGAGUGUGCUUGAAAGAGAACUUAGACACAGGUGCUGCAUGGCUGUCGUCAGCUCGUGUCGUGAGAUGUUGGGUUAAGUCCCGCAACGAGCGCAACCCUUAUCAUUAGUUGCUACGAAAGGCACUCUAAUGAGACUGCCGGUGACAAGCCGGAGGAAGGUGGGGAUGACGUCAAGUCCUCAUGGCCCUUAUGUGUAGGGCUUCACACGUCAUACAAUGGUCGGUACAGAGGGUAGCCAACCCGCGAGGGGGAGCCAAUCUCAUAAAACCGAUCUCAGUCCGGAUCGUAGUCUGCAACUCGACUACGUGAAGUCGGAAUCGCUAGUAAUCGCGGAUCAGCAUGUCGCGGUGAAUACGUUCCCGGGUCUUGUACACACCGCCCGUCAAACCAUGGGAGUGGGUUUCACCAGAAGUAGUUAGCCUAACCGCAAGGAGGGCGAUUACCACGGUGGGAUUCAUGACUGGGGUU
This 1451-nucleotide ribosomal RNA is filed under the name uncultured bacterium. RNAcentral describes it as "bacterial SSU rRNA". It matches the Rfam family "Bacterial small subunit ribosomal RNA". The record is from RNAcentral.